CAAUCCUAACCUUGGAAUGAACACAGUCAACUUUUACUGGACUGAUUCCUAAUUUGUACUUUUCAGCAUUUGUUGGGUCUGGAUGUUUAACAUUGCAAUCUUCAAACUGUCUUACAGUUACAUGUAGUCUUACACUGACCUGAACCACUGCAUGAUGUCAACUGUCAGGUCCUUCAAAGAAAAAAGAUCAUCUCUAAGGCACAAGAGAAACCUUUCAUCUGAUCGACACAUGGAUUUCAGGAUGGAGAGGGAGGAGGAGGACAGCAUCGGGGCAGAUGAUUGGACCCAGGCAUCAAACAGAGGAAAGGGGCCUGGUCGAGUCUCCCUAUGUGCCAGAAGUUUGCUGGAGUUGGGAUCUAAACAUCAUUGAGUGACGGCACAUUCAUCAUCAUGUAUCUUUAAUCAUGAAACAUUUAAAAUAAUGAAUGAUUUUUUUUAAAUCUUUCUGUUCAAGCUGUUUAUACCAGAUGACACGCUGGCUGGCUUCUACCUUUAACAUCAGAUGCAACAACUGUUUUGUUGUUGUUGUGUUUUGAUUAAUGUGAAAGAAAAGCAUUUAUUAAACUUUUCAGUCUGCA
Molecule: non-coding RNA, 578 nt
Organism: Labrus bergylta (ballan wrasse)
Lineage: Eukaryota; Metazoa; Chordata; Actinopteri; Labriformes; Labridae
Source: RefSeq, a predicted model, not a curated record